GAGCUGCCCGGGAGAGGACUCUCGGGACCCUUCCUUAACAGGAAGCUGGUGGCCCUUGGUCCCUAGUACUUUGUCCCUUCUUCCAUUCAGGAGGUCUGACACAGACCUGCCAUGUUAGACCAUGAGGGUCCUACCUUAAGUUAUGACCCAGUGGCAAUCCUACGUGGGGGUCAACUCCUCCAGGAAGCCUUCCCUGAGUCCUCUUCCUCCAGCUUGCAUUGACCAGAGUCUGGGCUCUCCCAGUCCGCUAUACUCCGCCUAUCAGAGCAUCUGUGACUCUGGUUGUCAAGACCUGUUUACCUGUUUCCCUCACUAGUUCUGAGUGCCUUGGGGGCAGAAGCAGCUGCUGGUUCACAUCUGCAACUAAACUUCUCCCUAUCUGGAAAGGAUAAUAGAAUAAUGCUUGUAAAGCAGUUAGCAUCAUCCUUGGCAUGCUGAUGUAUGCACAGAAAGAAGUCUGGAAAGAUGUCCUCAGACAGAAGUAGCAGUCUCUUCUUGGGGGAAGGGAAGAGGGCGACAGGUCCAGGAGGACUUCUAGCCCCGGACGUCCAGCCCCCAGAGCUGUGAGAGUACGUUAUUUUGGGGGACGAACGCACGCAAUCGAUUGAUUCGCACUACCAUGAUGGACAUUGGGGUGAGUCUGUCUCAGUGACUUUACUUCUGCUUUUUCGCUGUAUUCGGCUGUGUCGACCCCACGUGGAGCAAAACUGAUGCUGUUAGUUUGUUCAGAGAAGCUUGACUUCACUUUGAGAGAUAGGGUGGUGCACAGAGCAGGUGAAAUCCUCAACUCUGUCUGGCUCUGACCAGGUGAAAGUGCAUUUUUCCACCGUGCCACCAGAGUACCUUUCUUUACGCCGUCCAUGUGCCAAAACUAACCUCAGAGAGGCCCUCAGGCUGAGCCGUAGUUAACCUGUUUCUCAGCGGCACUUUGAAAUUUGUGCAGGUGUGCAAUCGUGGUCUUGGCAUUCGCGAAGAUGGUGGUGGGAGGGAUGACCGCCGUUCCUCUGGGCGUCGUGCCUGAAUUGAGUAGGAACCUUCAAGAACGUGUUGUGAUUUGAAAUGCUGAACUUGGUGGUUGGGGAAUGGGCUGGAGGAUGGAGAAAAACAAGGUUGGAGGGAACCUCAAGCAGUGUAAUGGAGGCCGGGGCUGGGGGUCUGGGCUCUGGACUUGAGCUGACCUGGGAUUGAGCACUCCUCCCCCCCGGGGGAACUAUGGACAAGCGCUCUGAGCUCCGGUCUUCUUCUGGGUGACAUAGGGCAGGGUUAUGCAAUGCCUUCUCCUUGAAAAUGCCACCCCCACACGUCAGCACCCCCCCUCCACUGAGAACAGAAAAUGGGGACUAUUAUUUGGGGGUCAGAAUGCAGGUGGCCCCUUUCAUUUUGUUCCAGGCUUUGUGGUCUAUCGUCCUUCCCUGUCUCCAGUUCGCAUUUUCCUCUGUUUAAGCCCACGACACUUUGGGAGCCUUCAGAUCUCACAAAUACACUUUGAUGAUACGGCUCUGCAUCAGCUCCUUUUAUCUUGGGAACACUUCACGAACCAAAGCUAAUCAACACAGAGCAGCCAGGGUCCACGUCUUCCAGAGUGUGCUUCGAAGCCCCCGCCCGGGGGUGCAGUUACGCUGCCCGGGAGCUCACACCUGGCUGGACCUGCCCACCCGGCUCCCACUCUGUGGUGCAGAACACUGCACCCAAGCCUAGGCACCUGCCGCGUGCAUACAGACACCAGCUCUGACUCGCCAGGGCACCCGAGGCAUGCCAAAGACUGUUUCGGCUCUCUACUGCUCAGUAAAAAACAAUGGUCAAACUCAGGGUUUAGGGCAACCAUUUUGUUCUACUCCUAAAUGCGUGGGACAGGGAUUUAGGAAGGAUUCCUCUGGGCUGUUUGUCCCUGACCCGUGUGGUCGGAGCUGGAGGAGCUGAGGCUGAGGACCCACUUCUGGGCGGGUUCUUCUCUCUGGCGUCUGGACCAUCCCUGCUCCCUGGUCUGUCUGUCUGUCUGUCUCUCCCUCUCUCUCUCGCUUCACGCAGCUGGACAUCCUCCAGGCCCUCUGCAGCACUGGGGUGGGGGGAGGGGCGUCCCAGGGUCGCCCAUCCACCUGCUUUUCCUAGAGGGAGUGUUCCUGGUGACCCAGGUGGCAGUUGCACGACCUCUUCCGUCCGCUUUAGGAAGAGUCACGACAGCACUUCUGCAUUCUGCCCGGUCAACAAGUCCCAAGGCCAGUGCAGGUUCAAGGGG
This is a long non-coding RNA of Felis catus (domestic cat), 2236 nucleotides long. RefSeq lists it as uncharacterized. NCBI's taxonomy places the organism in Eukaryota, Metazoa, Chordata, Mammalia, Carnivora, Felidae. The transcript is spliced from 3 exons. The record is from RefSeq and is a predicted model, not a curated record.